GUAAUUUCAUCAGGCCUGUUCAA
This 23-nucleotide non-coding RNA is filed under the name Arabidopsis thaliana (thale cress). The record is from RNAcentral. Lineage: Eukaryota; Viridiplantae; Streptophyta; Magnoliopsida; Brassicales; Brassicaceae.